GAUUUAUUUAGUAAUAAAGUGUUAACGUUGUAAAGUUAUAUUUUUAUUAUUAAAUGGUAAUGAAAUGUUUUUCGGUUUUUGUGGUAGCUAGUUUAUUAAUGAAGGCAUUUUAGUGCUUUAAUAUUAAUUUAUUAUAAUAAUUAAUAUUAUUAAUUUUAUAGGGGAUAAGCUCUAUAUAAGUUUAAUAGAAUAUUUUGGUUAUUAAUAAUUAUAAGUAGAAUUAAAAUUGUUUAUCUUGUAUAAUUUUAUAUAAAAAUUAUUUUUAUAAUUUCAGGUUAGGUUGAAAUUAAUAAAUGUAUUAUUAAUUUUGAGUAAUUAAAUAUAAUGUUAGUAUGAGUAUUAAUUAAAUUAUAAUAUAUUUUUAGAUCUAAAAAUGUAGGUGAGAAUAUAUAUUUUAAUUAAAUAAAAUAAAAAAAAGGAAUUCGGCAAAUAUAAAUCUCGCCUGUUUAUCAAAAACAUGUCUCUUUGUAUUGAUUAAAUAAAGAG
Molecule: ribosomal RNA, 486 nt
Filed under: Sepiella japonica (Japanese spineless cuttlefish)
Lineage: Eukaryota; Metazoa; Mollusca; Cephalopoda; Sepiida; Sepiidae
Description: partial 16S ribosomal RNA
Source: RNAcentral